GGUCAUAGCUCAGUUGGUAGAGUGCUAGCCUCAAAUGCACAAGGCCCUGGGUUCAAUCCCCAGCACCA
Molecule: transfer RNA, 68 nt
Filed under: Marmota monax (woodchuck)
Lineage: Eukaryota; Metazoa; Chordata; Mammalia; Rodentia; Sciuridae
Description: tRNA.Leu
Source: RNAcentral